This 67-nucleotide transfer RNA is filed under the name Marmota monax (woodchuck). RNAcentral describes it as "tRNA.Ala". The record is from RNAcentral. Lineage: Eukaryota; Metazoa; Chordata; Mammalia; Rodentia; Sciuridae.
GGUUAUGGCUCAGUGGUAGAGUGCUUGCCUAGCAUGUGCGAGGCCCUGGGUUCAAUCCUCAGCACCA